Molecule: unclassified non-coding RNA, 381 nt
Filed under: uncultured bacterium
Lineage: Bacteria
Description: contains 16S-23S intergenic spacer region
Source: RNAcentral
UCCCGCUUAUCACGGGCAGUUUCCUUAGAGUUCCCAGCAUUACCUGUUGGCAACUAAGGACGAGGGUUGCGCUCGUUGCGGGACUUAACCCAACAUCUCACGACACGAGCUGACGACAGCCAUGCAGCACCUGUGUCCAGGUUCCCUUUCGGGCACCCCCACAUCUCUGGAGGCUUCCUGGCAUGUCAAGGGUAGGUAAGGUUUUUCGCGUUGCAUCGAAUUAAUCCACAUAAUCCACCGCUUGUGCGGGUCCCCGUCAAUUCCUUUGAGUUUUAGCCUUGCGGCCGUACUCCCCAGGCGGGACACUUAAUGCGUUAGCUGCGGCACGGGAGGAGUCGACACCUCCCACACUUAGUGUCCAUCGUUUACGGCGUGGACUAC